UCGAAAACAUGGGGGGAUGGACCGAAGACGUGAAAAUAGCCUCUGGACGCGUUUUCAGCCAUGAAAACGUGUGCUAUAUGUCAGGGGAGCCCGAAAACGGCCACGCCGUCCACCGAGGAUUAAAAUGUAGGAGCUGAACCGAGCAAGUGAAAAUUGACUCCGAAUACAUGUUCGGCCAUGAAAAUGUGUGUUAUAGGUCAUGG
This 203-nucleotide long non-coding RNA is filed under the name Setaria viridis. RNAcentral's name for it is "long non-coding RNA (SVIR_LNC006404)". The record is from RNAcentral. Lineage: Eukaryota; Viridiplantae; Streptophyta; Magnoliopsida; Poales; Poaceae.